AAUAGGGUGGCCGAGUUUCAGGCAGAAGAUUGUAGUCCUUCCCACGGACAUUUUGUCCCCCUGUUA
This 66-nucleotide transfer RNA is filed under the name Paralvinella palmiformis. Its description in RNAcentral is "tRNA-Tyr". The record is from RNAcentral. Lineage: Eukaryota; Metazoa; Annelida; Polychaeta; Terebellida; Alvinellidae.